Strigops habroptila (Kakapo) is the source of this 2026-nucleotide long non-coding RNA. Lineage: Eukaryota; Metazoa; Chordata; Aves; Psittaciformes; Psittacidae. The record is from Ensembl.
GCAGCAGCACAAGGUGUAUUGCGCGGUUCGGUUCCACCAGCGGACGAGGCCACAAGCGCUACAGAGCCGAAAGGACGAGGGUCACGCACGGCGAGAGCUGCUCCUGGGGACCGGCCUGUCCCUGCCGGGGGUCCCCGCGGCGCCGAGGGCGAUGCAGGAGAGGAGGGGACAGGUCCGGCCGCGAUCCAUCACCUCGCGUUGAUCCCGAGGUUACGGCAGCAGCUGCUCCCCACUCCCACAGUGGUGUGGCCGGAGAAGCAAAGCCCCCUCCCCGUGCUGGGGGGGUCUAAAGAGCCAUGAAACCCACGACCCAUCACUUCGAAACACGCACACAGAAAAAGAAAGCAGUUCUGAAAACCCAUUACAAAGCAGAGGUCAAUAUAGAAACACCACCCCCCAGCUCCCUACUCGCUGAAUAACUAUCCCCAGGAAAAGGAAAACAAACACUUAAAUACAACUUCAUAAAUAUUACAUCGUGAAAAAAAUCCGAGACUUGGUUUUCUUCCCGCCUGGUUAAAAACAAAACAAAAGGGGUUAGGAGGGAAGAUAAGAAACAAGCGUCUAAUAUAGACAGUUACUUCGGCUAUAAAGUGUAACCUGCUGGGUUGAGUCAGAGGUAGCCGGGAGGGAGAAGGGAAGAUCCAGCACAGGCAGCCCCGAGCCGACCUUCCUCCCGCUCCCGGCUCUCGUCGUGACGUUAAAUUGGCGUCGAAAGGUUCAAGAGCCCUUGAGAACCAGUUUAUAAACAGGGACUGUCCUCAACACCCCACCGCCCGCCCCCUGCGGAUCCGGACCCCCAGGGACAGGCCCUUCCAUCCCUGGGGGUCCGGACACCCAGGGUCUGGCCAUUCCACCUCUGCAGAUCCAGACACCCAGGGACUGGCCAUUCCAUCCCUGUGGAUCCGGACACCCAGGGUCUGGCCAUUCCACCUCUGCAGAUCCGGACACCCAGGGACUGGCCAUUCCAUCCCUGUGGAUCCAGACACCCGGGGACAGGCCCUUGCAUCCCUGUGGAUCCGGACACCCAGGGUCUGGUCAUUCCAUCCCUGUGGAUCCAGACACCCGGGGACAGGCCCUUCCAUCCCUGUGGAUCCGGACACCCAGGGUCUGGCCAUUCCACCUCUGCAGAUCCGGACCCCCAGGGACAAGCCCUUGCAUCCCUGUGGAUCCGGACACCCAGGGUCUGGCCAUUCCAGCCCUGUGGAUCCGGACACCCAGGGUCUGGUCAUUCCAGCCCUGGGGAUCUGGACACCCAGGGACUAGCCCUUCCAACUCUGGGGAUCCAGACCCCCAGGGUCUGGCCAUUCCAUCCCUGUGGAUCCAGACACCCAGGGACAGGCCAUUCCAUCCCUGUGGAUCCGGACACCCAGGGUCUGGCCAUUCCAGCCCUGUGGAUCUGGACACCCAGGGACAGACGAGGAAAACAAGAAAGAAUACAAAAAAAUGCUUUCUUAAAAAAAUACCAGCUUGCGUCACAUCCACUUUCAGAGGUUCAAGUGGAAGGUGGGAAGAGACUUGGCUCUGAAACAUCAACUAAACAAAAAAGUCCCUUUCUACAGCACUACAUUCUGUUUCCUCAGCAAUCAUUGCUAGUUAGUAGAGAAACCCCUUGCACUACCACAAGGGUAAGCUUUAAAUUACUUUUUUAAUAUAUAUAACCCCCCCCCCCCCCGGUGGAUUCUGACCCAUCAGGAACACGGGCAAGAGUCACUUCAUUUCUUUUAAAAAAGCAUUUUGUGAAAAUAAAGCUCAGUCCAACAUCUGCUCCGAGAUCUCUGGAAGGCUGCAGCCGGUGCGGGCCGGGCAUCACUGCGGGGAAAGGGCAGCAGGAACGCUCCCCCCUUCCAGCUUUUUAGUUGAGUUAAAACCAAAUCAGACUCCAAAAGCUCCACGCUUGUGCGGAGGCACGAGUCUGUCCCACUCGAGUAGGAAUCUCUUGUUUCAAGCUGCCAGGAGCACCGGUGUCAACCACAGCUACGACACAGGCAAAGGUAUCACAAGGGAGCCAAGCUGUAAAAAUCAGGCC